This 1070-nucleotide long non-coding RNA is filed under the name Bemisia tabaci. RNAcentral describes it as "lncRNA ENSASIAIIG013300". Lineage: Eukaryota; Metazoa; Arthropoda; Insecta; Hemiptera; Aleyrodidae. The record is from RNAcentral.
GGAAUGAUGGUCUUUCUGUAUCCAUUCCAUCACAGGGAGUAUCUAGGACGCCAGCUGGAAAAAGAGCAAGGAUCAACAACUACUACGCCAAAAUCUGCAGCUGGAGUACUCGCUGAUUUUUCAGAAUGCAUUUACCUGAAGGUUGAUGGUUAACUGCUGUGGAGAUGGAUGGAAUCUGAAUCGAUUGCCGUUUUGACGGGGUCACAAGAUCUAUUCUUGUGUUAAUGGUUCGACCCAAAAAAAGUUGUGACGGAGGUUUACCAGUUGUUUGAUGGGGUGCUCGGUGAUAUCUUUGGAGAUAAUUAUCAAUCAUGUAGUGGUCCCAAAGUCAAAAUACCCGCCAUCCAUGAGAGACACCUACGCACCCUGGCGGGGCGUGGGUGAAGAGAGAGUUGAGAGAGAAAGUGGGUAGUUAGUAGUUAGUCGUUGUCUGGUGAUUCGUUCGGAUAGGACCAUUUUAGGACCAAGAUGUGAGUUCCCGUCAUGUCACCCCAUCGGGGGUGAUUGUUUUUGUUUCUUCUGGCGAUGGAGUGAGUCGUGGUGGCCAUGCGGCCACCGUUUUCCCGGAUUUCCUGUUCUUUCCUUUUUUCCUCUCGUUCGCACUCCCGGACAGGCCCCUAGGCCUGAUUCCGGAUGGGCCUAGUGCCCUGUCUAGUAGUGACUUUUUAGAGAGUUGCACGGCCCCCGAGACCGUUACAACUGGCGCCCAACCCGCGGCUCGAUAAUUUCUUAUCGCAAGAACCUCCGCGAAACAUCAAGUGAAAGUGAUCCGUGAAAACGCGUGUGCCAGGUACCUAACCUUUACCUUAUAGUUUUACUGAACUCUCCGCCCUAUUCUAUGUUUAUUAGUUUAUUAUGAUGCCCAUUUCUGUACCGAAGUCGGAAGCUCUGUACCCGUGAACAGUCGUAAUUCCCGUAGUCCGAAGUUCGUGAACCGCGUUGUUGUGAUGUGAAGCUAGCCAUCAAGCUUUCACUUUUGCGCGCGAAAGUCAAGCCUUUGUGACGCGCCUCCAGCCUUUGUCCAUCGUUGUUGCUGAUCGGUCAUCACCGAGUGACGUCACCCGCGCCAC